This 207-nucleotide ribosomal RNA is filed under the name uncultured bacterium. RNAcentral describes it as "partial 16S ribosomal RNA". It matches the Rfam family "Bacterial small subunit ribosomal RNA", at positions 568 to 774 of the family's 1533-position model. The record is from RNAcentral.
CGCGUAGGCGGACUGGAAAGUCAGAGGUGAAAUCCCAGGGCUCAACCUUGGAACUGCCUUUGAAACUAUCAGUCUGGAGUUCGAGAGAGGUGAGUGGAAUUCCGAGUGUAGAGGUGAAAUUCGUAGAUAUUCGGAGGAACACCAGUGGCGAAGGCGGCUCACUGGCUCGAUACUGACGCUGAGGUGCGAAAGCGUGGGGAGCAAACA